RNAcentral lists this ribosomal RNA (238 nucleotides) under uncultured bacterium. RNAcentral describes it as "partial 16S ribosomal RNA". It matches the Rfam family "Bacterial small subunit ribosomal RNA", at positions 15 to 231 of the family's 1533-position model. The record is from RNAcentral.
GAUCAUGGCUCAGGAUGAACGCUGGCGGCGUGCUUAACACAUGCAAGUCGAGCGAAGCGCUUUGGAAAGAUUCUUCGGAUGAUUUCCUUUGUGACUGAGCGGGCGCGACGGGUAGGAGUAACGCGUAUCCAACCUGCCUACCACUUGGGGAUAACCUUGCGAAAGUAAGACUAAUACCCAAUGACAUCCCACGAAGACAUCUGAAUGGGAUUAAAGAUUUAUCGGUGAUGGAUGGGGA